CGAACGUGCUAACCACUAAGCCACCGUGCCCCCAAAAACAGUUGUUUUAUUUAUUUAUUUAUUUUUACAUUUACAUUUUUGAAGGUCAUUGUACCUGUUUUUUGUUCUUUAGGUGUUUUAAAGUGUAAAUUGCACUGACAUGAGCUGAGUGGUUAUGGUGCUGGACCUCUGACUGGAAGGUCUUGAGUUCAAAUCCCUUAAUCCUCAAUUGUACAAAGAAAUUGAGCGGAUCGCUGACUGGCUGAGACGAGUCUCUGGUGUCUCAGUGUAUACCUGUGUUGCAUUCUGGGAAACUGAGUUUUAAGGAGAUAAUGCUGAACCCUCAGGGCAAUGGUGGCUUAAGCGGUUAAGGCUCUGGGUUGUAUAUUAGAGGUUCAGGGAUCAAACCACAGCACUACCAAGCUACCACUGUUGGGCCCCUGAUCAAGGGCCUUAACCAUUUGUGCUCCAGGGCUGCUGAAUCAUGGCUGAUGAUGUGCUCUGACCCCAGCCUCCAAAGUUGUGAUACGAGAUGAAAGAAUUUCACUAUGCUGUAAUGUAUAUGUGACAAAAUAAAGACUUCUUCUUCUCA
Molecule: long non-coding RNA, 571 nt
Organism: Tachysurus fulvidraco (yellow catfish)
Lineage: Eukaryota; Metazoa; Chordata; Actinopteri; Siluriformes; Bagridae
Exons: 3
Source: RefSeq, a predicted model, not a curated record